GGCGGUUUCUUAAGUCUGAUGUGAAAGCCCCGGCUCAACCGGGGAGGGUCAUUGGAAACUGGGAGACUUGAGUGCAGAAGAGGAGAGUGGAAUUCCAUGUGUAGCGGUGAAAUGCGUAGAUAUAUGGAGGAACACCAGUGGCGAAGGCGGCUCUCUGGUCUGUAACUGACGCUGAGGCUCGAAAGCGUGGGGAGCAAACAGGAUU
This 205-nucleotide ribosomal RNA is filed under the name Enterococcus faecium. RNAcentral describes it as "partial 16S ribosomal RNA". It matches the Rfam family "Bacterial small subunit ribosomal RNA", at positions 574 to 779 of the family's 1533-position model. Lineage: Bacteria; Bacillati; Bacillota; Bacilli; Lactobacillales; Enterococcaceae. The record is from RNAcentral.